UCCAAGUAAUUUAUGGAGAGGCUGAAGAGGACAGGGGCUGAGAUGGAGCCCUGCAGAACCCCACUAGUGAUGGGUUACCAGCCUGAUGUUACCCCAUUCACUAUUACCCUCUGUUUCAGUGAGAAAUUAUCUGUGUUUAUGGUUUGGCUUAACUGAGUCUCCCAUAUUUGCCUAUUAAGAGAUUUCUUUCUGUGAUGGCCUUCUUCCCACCUCUAAUAAAAGUACUGAACAUCAUUAAGAAAAUGACACACCAGAAAGAAUUGGUUUUUUCCCCCAUAAUUACAGAAAGAGGAAGAAUUCAUUGGCAAGUGUCCUUGAAACUGUGAAACAGAAUUGCUGAGGUACUGCAGAAGUGUUCAGAGAAAAAGUGACCAAUCCACGUACGUCUGCUUGCAAGUUGGGUAGUCCAGACAAAAACCAGUUAAAAGGGAAAAUGGUGCCAGCCUCAAAAUCUUUGUCCAGAAAAACAAAUAAAUUUUAGUUUGAAAAACGUGUGGAUGCAGCUUGAAUGGUGCUUUCCCUAAUGGGUGCUGACCUAGAGCUGCAGAUGCUCCCCAUCCAGAACAGCUGGGAAACUGGAAACAAGAGUUCACUUCAAAACACAUGCCCACUACCAGAAGUUAA
Lepidothrix coronata (blue-crowned manakin) is the source of this 624-nucleotide long non-coding RNA. RefSeq lists it as uncharacterized. Lineage: Eukaryota; Metazoa; Chordata; Aves; Passeriformes; Pipridae. The record is from RefSeq and is a predicted model, not a curated record. The transcript is spliced from 3 exons.